Molecule: ribosomal RNA, 426 nt
Filed under: uncultured bacterium
Lineage: Bacteria
Description: bacterial SSU rRNA
Rfam family: Bacterial small subunit ribosomal RNA
Source: RNAcentral
GGGGAAUUGUUCGCAAUGGGCGCAAGCCUGACGACGCAACGCCGCGUGGAGGACGAAGAUUUUCGGAUCGUAAACUCCUUUCGAUCGGGAAGAACAGUUGUGGGGUGAACAGCCCCGCAGCGUGACGGUACCGAGGGAAGAAGCCCCGGCUAACUCCGUGCCAGCAGCCGCGGUAAUACGGGGGGGGCAAGCGUUGUUCGGAAUUACUGGGCGUAAAGGGCUCGUAGGCGGCCAACUAAGUCCGACGUGAAAUCCCAAGGCUUAACCUUGGAACUGCGUCGGAUACUGGAUGGCUUGAAUUCGGGAGAGGGAUGCAGAAUUCCAGGUGUAGCGGUGAAAUGCGUAGAUAUCUGGAGGAAUACCGGUGGCGAAGGCGGCAUCCUGGACCGACAUUGACGCUGAUGAGCGAAAGCUAGGGGAGCAAAC